RNAcentral lists this ribosomal RNA (820 nucleotides) under uncultured bacterium. Its description in RNAcentral is "partial 16S ribosomal RNA". It matches the Rfam family "Bacterial small subunit ribosomal RNA", at positions 56 to 879 of the family's 1533-position model. The record is from RNAcentral.
UGCAAGCCGAGCGGUAGGGUUUCUUCGGAAACCUGAGAGCGGCGCACGGGUGCGGAACACGUGUGCAACCUACCUUUAUCAGGGGGAUAGCCUUUCGAAAGGAAGAUUAAUACCCCAUAAUAUAUUAGAUGGCAUCAUUUGAUAUUGAAAACUCCGGUGGAUAGAGAUGGGCACGCGCAAGAUUAGAUAGUUGGUGAGGUAACGGCUCACCAAGUCAGUGAUCUUUAGGGGGCCUGAGAGGGUGAUCCCCCACACUGGUACUGAGACACGGACCAGACUCCUACGGGAGGCAGCAGUGAGGAAUAUUGGACAAUGGGUGAGAGCCUGAUCCAGCCAUCCCGCGUGAAGGAUGACGGCCCUAUGGGUUGUAAACUUCUUUUGUAUAGGGAUAAACCUUUCCACGUGUGGAAAGCUGAAGGUACUAUACGAAUAAGCACCGGCUAACUCCGUGCCAGCAGCCGCGGUAAUACGGAGGGUGCAAGCGUUAUCCGGAUUUAUUGGGUUUAAAGGGUCCGUAGGCGGACUCGUAAGUCAGUGGUGAAAUCUCAUAGCUUAACUAUGAAACUGCCAUUGAUACUGCGGGUCUUGARURRRSUAGAGGUAGSYGGAAURAGWMRWGUAGCGGUGAAAUGCAUAGAUAUKWCUYAGAACACCRAUUGCGAAGGCAGSUUACYAUGKYUUWAYUGACGCUGAKGSACGAAAGCGUGGGGAKCRAACAGGAUUAGAUACCCUGGUAGUCCACGCCSUAAACGAUGMWMACUCGCUGUUGGCGAUACACAGUCAGCGGCUAAGCGAAAGCGUUAAGUGUUCCACCUGGGGA